CAGUCGAGGGGCAGCAUGGUCUUAGCUUGCUAAGGCCGAUGGCGACCGGCGCACGGGUGAGUAACACGUAUCCAACCUGCCGUCUACUCUUGGACAGCCUUCUGAAAGGAAGAUUAAUACAAGAUGGCAUCAUGAGUUCACAUGUUCACAUGAUUAAAGGUAUUCCGGUAGACGAUGGGGAUGCGUUCCAUUAGAUAGUAGGCGGGGUAACGGCCCACCUAGUCUUCGAUGGAUAGGGGUUCUGAGAGGAAGGUCCCCCACAUUGGAACUGAGACACGGUCCAAACUCCUACGGGAGGCAGCAGUGAGGAAUAUUGGUCAAUGGGCGCAGGCCUGAACCAGCCAAGUAGCGUGAAGGAUGACUGCCCUAUGGGUUGUAAACUUCUUUUAUAAAGGAAUAAAGUCGGGUAUGUAUACCCGUUUGCAUGUACUUUAUGAAUAAGGAUCGGCUAACUCCGUGCCAGCAGCCGCGGUAAUACGGAGGAUCCGAGCGUUAUCCGGAUUUAUUGGGUUUAAAGGGAGCGUAGAUGGAUGUUUAAGUCAGUUGUGAAAGUUUGCGGCUCAACCGUAAAAUUGCAGUUGAUACUGGAUAUCUUGAGUGCAGUUGAGGCAGGCGGAAUUCGUGGUGUAGCGGUGAAAUGCUUAGAUAUCACGAAGAACUCCGAUUGCGAAGGCAGCCUGCUAAGCUGCAACUGACAUUGAGGCUCGAAAGUGUGGGUAUCAAACAGGAUUAGAUACCCUGGUAGUCCACACGGUAAACGAUGAAUACUCGCUGUUUGCGAUAUACUGCAAGCGGCCAAGCGAAAGCGU
RNAcentral lists this ribosomal RNA (809 nucleotides) under uncultured bacterium. RNAcentral's name for it is "bacterial SSU rRNA". It matches the Rfam family "Bacterial small subunit ribosomal RNA", at positions 59 to 860 of the family's 1533-position model. The record is from RNAcentral.